Molecule: ribosomal RNA, 253 nt
Filed under: uncultured bacterium
Lineage: Bacteria
Description: partial 16S ribosomal RNA
Rfam family: Bacterial small subunit ribosomal RNA
Source: RNAcentral
UACGAAGGACCCGAGCGUUAUCCGGAUUCAUUGGGUUUAAAGGGUGCGUAGGCGGACCUGUAAGUCAGUGGUGAAAGCCCUUCGCUUAACGAAGGAACUGCCAUUGAUACUGCUGGUCUUGAGUACAGUUGAGGUGGGCGGAAUGUGUCAUGUAGCGGUGAAAUGCUUAGAUAUGACACAGAACACCGAUUGCGAAGGCAGCUCGCUAAACUGUAACUGACGCUGAGGCACGAAAGCGUGGGUAGCAAACAGG